AUUGGACGCUGGCGGCAUGCCUUACACAUGCAAGUCGAACGGUAACAGGUCUUCGGAUGCUGACGAGUGGCGAACGGGUGAGUAAUACAUCGGAACGUGCCCGAUCGUGGGGGAUAACGCAGCGAAAGCUGUGCUAAUACCGCAUACGAUCUACGGAUGAAAGCGGGGGAUCUUCGGACCUCGCGCGGACGGAGCGGCCGAUGGCAGAUUAGGUAGUUGGUGGGGUAAAGGCUCACCAAGCCUGCGAUCUGUAGCUGGUCUGAGAGGACGACCAGCCACACUGGGACUGAGACACGGCCCAGACUCCUACGGGAGGCAGCAGUGGGGAAUUUUGGACAAUGGGCGCAAGCCUGAUCCAGCCAUGCCGCGUGCAGGAUGAAGGCCUUCGGGUUGUAAACUGCUUUUGUACGGAACGAAAAGUCUCUUUCUAAUAAAGAGGGAUCAUGACGGUACCGUAAGAAUAAGCACCGGCUAACUACGUGCCAGCAGCCGCCGUAA
This 498-nucleotide ribosomal RNA is filed under the name uncultured bacterium. RNAcentral describes it as "partial 16S ribosomal RNA". It matches the Rfam family "Bacterial small subunit ribosomal RNA", at positions 30 to 523 of the family's 1533-position model. The record is from RNAcentral.